RNAcentral lists this unclassified non-coding RNA (336 nucleotides) under soil metagenome. RNAcentral's name for it is "partial contains 5.8S ribosomal RNA, internal transcribed spacer 2, and large subunit ribosomal RNA". The stretch from base 1 to 120 matches the Rfam family "5.8S ribosomal RNA", at positions 35 to 154 of the family's 154-position model. The record is from RNAcentral.
GAUGAAGAACGCAGCGAAAUGCGAUAAGUAAUGUGAAUUGCAGAAUUCAGUGAAUCAUCGAAUCUUUGAACGCACAUUGCGCCCGCUAGUAUUCUGGCGGGCAUGCCUGUUCGAGCGUCAUUUCAACCAUCAAGCCCCAGGCUUGUGUUGGGGACCUGCGGCUGCCGCAGGCCCUGAAAACCAGUGGCGGGCUCGCUGUCACACCGGGCGUAGUAGAUUUUAUCUCGCUCAGGGCGUGCUGCGGGUUCCGGCCGUUAAAAAGCCUUUUUUACCCAAGGUUGACCUCGGAUCAGGUAGGAAUACCCGCUGAACUUAAGCAUAUCAAUAAGCGGAGGA